UAUUUUUUAAUCUAUUGCUAGAAGAUUCUUCUUUGGCCUUUCAAUCCAUUCAAAAAUUUACUUCUUUGUAAUCCUAUCACUAUCUUCUAAGAAAAACUCAUCUUUCAAUGCUUGAGAAAAUUUCUCCUAUAAACCUCCAAAAUGUCCUAUAAAAAAAUUUACUUGAUUUUUUAUCUUUAGUAUCAUAGCUAGUUCAAAUAAUUGAGCCAUCUCUCUUUUUGGAAUACACUUCAACUCCAUUUCUUUCACAUAGCACCUUAAAUACUUUAUAAUGUCUUUUCCUUCAAGUUGAUCAAUCUUGUCUACAACUACUUGUAAUGCUUUGUUUGCCAUACCUUCUUUGCAAUCUUUAACCUAUUGCUAUUUCAUGAAUAAGACAAAAGCCUCAAAUAUGCUUAUAGAAUUGGGAUCAAAAUACAUACCUUAUCCUCUACUAAUACCGCCACUUAUAGCUUUAAUUGAAGCACCAUCCAUAUCUCUUCCUUCAACUCUCUUACCUUCUUUUU
Molecule: long non-coding RNA, 506 nt
Filed under: Physcomitrium patens
Lineage: Eukaryota; Viridiplantae; Streptophyta; Bryopsida; Funariales; Funariaceae
Description: long non-coding RNA (PPAT_LNC009191)
Source: RNAcentral